RNAcentral lists this transfer RNA (73 nucleotides) under Bos taurus (domestic cattle). It matches the Rfam family "tRNA". Rfam says of the family: Transfer RNA (tRNA) molecules are approximately 80 nucleotides in length. Lineage: Eukaryota; Metazoa; Chordata; Mammalia; Artiodactyla; Bovidae. RNAcentral also lists the same sequence under 4 other names. The record is from Rfam by way of RNAcentral.
UCCCUGGUGGUCCAAUGGCUAAGACUCUAUGCUCCUAAUGCAAGGGACCCAGGUUCAAUCCUUGGUCAGGGAA